Salvia splendens (bonfire salvia) is the source of this 121-nucleotide small nuclear RNA. RefSeq annotates it as U5 spliceosomal RNA. The transcript has a single exon. The record is from RefSeq and is a predicted model, not a curated record. Lineage: Eukaryota; Viridiplantae; Streptophyta; Magnoliopsida; Lamiales; Lamiaceae.
CAGCUGCGCGUCGAGCACAUAGCGAAUUAUUCUUUCGCCUUUUACUAAAGAAUAACGUGUGCUCGUUGUAUUUCAAGCAGCAUAUGCCAUUUUUUUGGAGGGUGUUUUGUUUAUAAUAACU